RNAcentral lists this transfer RNA (92 nucleotides) under Saezia sanguinis. Its description in RNAcentral is "tRNA-Arg". The record is from RNAcentral. Lineage: Bacteria; Pseudomonadati; Pseudomonadota; Betaproteobacteria; Burkholderiales; Saeziaceae.
CCUGCCGUGGAGCAACGGCCGGCUCUGCCGGGUUUGCGGCAGCCGGUGCGGCCUGCGCGCCUGCGGCCAUGUUCUGCGCCAUGGCGGUAGAC